This 397-nucleotide ribosomal RNA is filed under the name uncultured bacterium. RNAcentral describes it as "partial 16S ribosomal RNA". It matches the Rfam family "Bacterial small subunit ribosomal RNA", at positions 523 to 918 of the family's 1533-position model. The record is from RNAcentral.
AUACGUAGGGGGCAAGCGUUAUCCGGAUUUACUGGGUGUAAAGGGAGCGUAGACGGUUUGGCAAGUCUGAUGUGAAAGCCCGGGGCUCAACCGCGGGACUGCAUUGGAAACUGUCAGACUUGAGUGCAGGAGAGGUAAGUGGAAUUCCUAGUGUAGCGGUGAAAUGCGUAGAUAUUAGGAGGAACACCGGUGGCGAAGGCGGCUUACUGGACUGUAACUGACGCUGAGGCUCGAAAGCGUGGGGAGCAAACAGGAUUAGAUACCCUGGUAGUCCACGCCGUAAGCGAUGAAUACUAGGUGUUGGGAGACAAUAGUUUCUCGGUGCCGCAGCAAACGCAAUAAGUAUUCCACCUGGGGAGUACGUUCGCAAGAAUGAAACUCAAAUGAAUUGACGGGG